Molecule: long non-coding RNA, 327 nt
Organism: Etheostoma cragini (Arkansas darter)
Lineage: Eukaryota; Metazoa; Chordata; Actinopteri; Perciformes; Percidae
Exons: 4
Source: RefSeq, a predicted model, not a curated record
UUAAUGGUCCCAUGGCAUAAACAUGUCACUUCAUGAGGUUUUUUAACAUUAAUAUGAGUUCCCCCAGCCUGCCUAUGGUCCCCACUGGCUAGAAAUGGCAAUAGGUGUAUACCGAGCCCUGGGUAUCCUGCUCUGCCUUUGAGAAAAUGAAAGCCCAGAUGGGUCAAUCUGGAAUCCUGCCCCUUAUGAGGUCAUAGGGGGCAAGGCUAUGGGCUGCCCUUUCUCUGAUUUGCCCAGCCAGAGAGUUUGGCCCACCAAUGAGAGAGAUACAUCAUGGCUUUCAAACGAGCAAAGUUGCAGUUGGUCAAGGCCACACCCCCAGCCUCC